Molecule: long non-coding RNA, 220 nt
Filed under: Paramuricea clavata
Lineage: Eukaryota; Metazoa; Cnidaria; Anthozoa; Malacalcyonacea; Plexauridae
Source: RNAcentral
CCUUGAGGGAAUUUGCAAUGUUCCUAUCGGCUGUUGCAAUAUUCCAAUGCAAACAAACUUCAUUUUAAAUUUUCCUAACUUCCUGUUUUAAUUUCCUGACUUCCUGUUCUGUUCUGGGCGUUGUUAUUGGUCGAUUAUUUUUGUUAGCCAAUUGCAACGCCCAGAACAGAACAGGAAGUUAGAAACUUGUAACAGGAAGUUAAGAACUUCUAACAGGAAC